Canis lupus familiaris (dog) is the source of this 1118-nucleotide long non-coding RNA. RefSeq lists it as uncharacterized. The record is from RefSeq and is a predicted model, not a curated record. The transcript is spliced from 2 exons. Lineage: Eukaryota; Metazoa; Chordata; Mammalia; Carnivora; Canidae.
CUUCCGGUCCUGCUACCUGUUAGUCGCGUCUGGGCCCUCCGGGUCUGCGGGAGUCGGCGCGCGGCCCUGGGCCUCGAGAGCGUGUUAGGGAGGAGUCGCCUUCAUUUUUCGUGGAAGAUGGGAACUCCUGCCUUCCUUGGGAGUUGGGUUUUGACAUUUGCUCUUUGUUUGAUUCUCUUUUUUAACCUUUGAUCUUUCAGGCCGGCCUGGUCCCGCCCACUUCUGUUUUGCGGGCGGCUCUGGCCUCUGGUGGCCUGGGAGAGGAAGGCCGCCCUCACCCCUCACCCCUCACCGGCCUGGCUCUGGCCGCGGCUCCCGAGAGUAGCAGAGGCUCUAGCCGGUUGGCCUCUAGGAAUUAGGAGCCCGCGCUGUAUGGAGUGCCGGGGAAUCUCGUUUUACGGGGGGGGGGAGCGGGAAAGCAGGAAUUAUCUUACCUCUCUGUGCUGUUGUUCCACGGAUACACUCGGUCCCCGGUUGGGAAAGAACCAACACCUGAUUCAUAAUUUGAGAGGCCGAUGAGUCAACAGAGAAUAAAAUUUACAACUCUGGAAAAAAAAAAAAAAGAAAAGAAACCGCACAAAGAAGUUAUUCCCACCCCCCUCGCCUCGAAAGCUCCAUAGUCCUACCUCGGUCAUACCGAAAACUGCGGUGUCGAUCCAAAAAGAAAAGACAUAAGGUUUUCUUUAUUUAUUCAUGAGAAACACAGAGAGGCAGAGACAGAAGCAGGCUCCAUGCAGGGAGAAUGAUGUGGGAUUUGAUCCCUGGACUCCAGGACCAUGCCCUGAGCCAAAGGCAUGUGCUAAACCACUGAGCCACCCAGGGAUCCUGUAUGUUUGCCCUCCUUUUUGGUUGUUGCUGUUUAUUUUGAACUUUUAUAAACUUUUGAAAUCAAACACACUGGGACCCACCCGUCUAAAUGACCUAUAGAAGCCCUUCCAACUUUGAGAUUUGCUUUAAUGUGUAUAUUUGGUGAGCUGCCUCAUUUGUUUCCUGCCUGUUGUAGUCACUAUUCCAGCAUUGACAAUAUCCAGCAAAAUGCUCCAAAAUGCUGAUUUCAAUUACUCCCAUCUUAAGAUUUAGAUUUGUCCAAAAAAAAAAAAAAAAAAGAAAAGAAAUUU